UAAAAGAUAAGCUAAUUAAGCUAAUGGGUUCAUACCCCAUCAAUGAAAGUAAGAUCUCUCUCUUUUAA
Molecule: transfer RNA, 68 nt
Filed under: Homologenus malayensis
Lineage: Eukaryota; Metazoa; Arthropoda; Malacostraca; Decapoda; Homolidae
Description: tRNA-Met
Source: RNAcentral